Molecule: ribosomal RNA, 406 nt
Filed under: bacterium enrichment culture clone ALO1_GLFRUDD03FSLIG
Lineage: Bacteria
Description: bacterial SSU rRNA
Rfam family: Bacterial small subunit ribosomal RNA
Source: RNAcentral
GAGUUUGAUCUGGCUCAGAUUGAACGCUGGCGGCAUGCCUUACACAUGCAAGUCGAACGGCAGCACGGGAGCUUGCUCCUGGUGGCGAGUGGCGAACGGGUGAGUAAUGCAUCGGAACGUAUCCUGGAGUGGGGGAUAACGUAGCGAAAGUUACGCUAAUACCGCAUAUUCUGUGAGCAGGAAAGCGGGGGACCUUCGGGGCCUCGCGCUCUUGGAGCGGCCGAUGUCGGAUUAGCUAGUUGGUGAGGUAAAGGCUCACCAAGGCGACGAUCCGUAGCAGGUCUGAGAGGAUGAUCUGCCACACUGGAACUGAGACACGGUCCAGACUCCUACGGAGGCAGCAGUGGGGAAUUUGGACAAUGGGGGCAACCCUGAUCCAGCCAUGCCGCGUGAGUGAAGAAGGCCU